ACGGUCCUAAGGUAGCGAAAUUCCUUGUCGGGUAAGUUCCGACCUGCACGAAUGGCAUAAUGAUGGCCAGGCUGUCUCCACCCGAGACUCAGUGAAAUUGAAAUCGCCGUGAAGAUGCGGUGUACCCGCGGCUAGACGGAAAGACCCCGUGAACCUUUACUAUAGCUUGACACUGAACAUUGAAUUUUGAUGUGUAGGAUAGGUGGGAGACUUUGAAGUAGUCACGCCAGUGAUUAUGGAGUCGUCCUUGAAAUACCACCCUUUAACGUUUGAUGUUCUAACGAAGAUUACGAAACGUGGUCUCGGACAGUGUCUGGUGGGUAGUUUGACUGGGGCGGUCUCCUCCCAAAGAGUAACGGAGGAGCACGAAGGUUUGCUAAUGACGGUCGGACAUCGUCAGGUUAGUGCAAUGGUAUAAGCAAGCUUAACUGCGAGACAGACAAGUCGAGCAGGUACGAAAGUAGGUCAUAGUGAUCCGGUGGUUCCGCAUGGAAGGGCCAUCGCUCAAAGGAUAAAAGGUACUCCGGGGAUAACAGGCUGAUACCGCCCAAGAGUUCAUAUCGACGGCGGUGUUUGGCACCUCGAUGUCGGCUCAUCACAUCCUGGGGCUGAAGUAGGUCCCAAGGGUAUGGCUGUUCGCCAUUUAAAGUGGUACGCGAGCUGGGUUUAGAACGUCGUGAGACAGUUCGGUCCCUAUCUGCCGUGGGCGUUGGAGAAUUGAUUGGGGCUGCUCCUAGUACGAGAGGACCGGAGUGGACGCACCACUGGUGUUCCGGUUGUGUCGCCAGACGCAUUGCCGGGUAGCUAAGUGCGGAAGAGAUAAGUGCUGAAAGCAUCUAAGCACGAAACUUGCCAAGAGAUGAGUUCUCCCUGUCUUUAAGACAGUAAGGGUUGUUUAAGACUAAGACGUAGAUAGGUCUGGUGUGUAAGCGGUGCGAGCCGUUGAGCUAACAGAUACUAAUUGCCCGAGAGGCUUAACUAU
This 982-nucleotide ribosomal RNA is filed under the name human gut metagenome. RNAcentral describes it as "bacterial LSU rRNA". It matches the Rfam family "Bacterial large subunit ribosomal RNA", at positions 1945 to 2925 of the family's 2925-position model. The record is from RNAcentral.